RNAcentral lists this small nuclear RNA (105 nucleotides) under Cervus elaphus hippelaphus. The record is from RNAcentral. Lineage: Eukaryota; Metazoa; Chordata; Mammalia; Artiodactyla; Cervidae.
GUGCUCCCUCUGGCAGGACAGAUGCUGAAACUGGACCCAUGCAGAGGAGGUCAGCUUGGCCACUGCCUGGGGAUGAUAUACAAUCUGUGAAGUGUUCCAUAUGUU